GGCGCGCUUAACGCAUGCAAGUCGAGCGAUGAGGCUCCCCUCGGGGAGUACAUCAGCGGCAGACGGGUGAGUAACACGUAGAUAACCUGCCCUCAAGACGGGGACAACCGGUGGAAACAGCGGCUAAUACCCGAUAUGCUCACAGGAUCGGGAGGUCGAGUGAGGAAAGGCUUCGGUGCUUGAGGAGGGAUCUGCGGCCCAUCAGCUAGUUGGUGAGGUAACGGCUCACCAAGGCGAAGACGGGUAGGGGGUGUGAGAGCAUGGCCCCCCACAAUGGGACUGAGACACGGCCCAUACUCCUACGGGAGGCAGCAGCGGGGAAUAUUGCGCAAUGGACGGAAGUCAGACGCAGCGACGCCGCGUGGGUGAGGAAGGCCUUCGGGUUGUAAAGCCCUUUUCAGGGGAGCGAGAAAGGACGGUACCCUUGGAAUAAGCGUCGGCUAACUACGUGCCAGCAGCCGCGGUAAGACGUAGGACGCAAGCGUUAUCCGGAUUUACUGGGCGUAAAGCGCCUGUAGGCGGUCAAGUAAGUCGGAUGUGAAAGCCCCGUGCUCAACGCGGGGAAGCCAUUCGAUACUGCGUGACUAGAGAACGGCAGAGGGAAACGGAAUUUCUGGUGUAGCGGUAAAAUGCGCAGAGAUCAGAAAGAACACCGAUGGCGAAGGCAGUUUCCUAGGCCGCAUCUGACGCUGAGAGGCGAAAGCUAGGGGAGCAAACAGGAUUAGAGACCCUGGUAGUCCUAGCUGUAAACGAUGGAUGCUAGGUGUGGGCCGGAAAGGUCCGUGCCGUAGUUAACGCGAUAAGCAUCCCGCCUGGGGAGUACGGCCGCAAGGCUAAAACUCAAACGAAUUGACGGGGACCCGCACAAGCAGCGGAGCGUGUGGUUUAAUUCGAUGCUACACGCAGAACCUUACCUGGGCUUGACAUGUAGGUGGUAGUGAAGUGAAAGCGGAGCGACCCUCCGGGGAGCCUACACAGGUGCUGCAUGGCUGUCGUCAGCUCGUGCCGUGAGGUGUCGGGUUAAGUCCCGUAACGAGCGCAACCCUUGUCCUUAGUUACAAGUGUCUAAGGAGACUGCCGGUGACAAACCGGAGGAAGGUGGGGAUGACGUCA
This 1113-nucleotide ribosomal RNA is filed under the name uncultured organism. RNAcentral's name for it is "bacterial SSU rRNA". It matches the Rfam family "Bacterial small subunit ribosomal RNA", at positions 41 to 1187 of the family's 1533-position model. The record is from RNAcentral.